UGCAGUCGAGCGAUGAAAUCCCUUCGGGGAUGGAUUAGCGGCGGACGGGUGAGUAACACGUGGGCAACCUGCCUCAAAGUGGGGGAUAGCCUUCCGAAAGGGAGAUUAAUACCGCAUAACAUUAGUUUUUCACAUGAAUUACUAAUUAAAGGAGUAAUCCGCUUUGAGAUGGGCCCGCGGCGCAUUAGCUAGUUGGUGAGGUAACGGCUCACCAAGGCCACGAUGCGUAGCCGACCUGAGAGGGUGAUCGGCCACAUUGGAACUGAGACACGGUCCAGACUCCUACGGGAGGCAGCAGUGGGGAAUAUUGCACAAUGGGCGAAAGCCUGAUGCAGCAACGCCGCGUGAGUGAUGAAGGCCUUCGGGUUGUAAAGCUCUGUCUUUGGGGACGAUAAUGACGGUACCCAAGGAGGAAGCCACGGCUAACUACGUGCCAGCAGCCGCGGUAAUACGUAGGUGGCGAGCGUUGUCCGGAUUUACUGGGCGUAAAGGAUGCGUAGGCGGAUGUUUAAGUCAGAUGUGAAAAUCCCGAGCUUAACUUGGGAACUGCAUUUGAAACUGGAUAUCUAGAGUGCGGG
Molecule: ribosomal RNA, 578 nt
Filed under: bacterium stC1-27F
Lineage: Bacteria
Description: bacterial SSU rRNA
Rfam family: Bacterial small subunit ribosomal RNA
Source: RNAcentral